GUGACGGCCGAGACGGCGGUGAUGAGGAUCUUCACCGACAUGCGGGCCUUCCGCACAGCGUAGGAGGUAAUACCUCUCCACCGUGAGGUGAGGAUCAGAGCAACAGAGACGAGCCGAUUCAGUUCGGGUGAAACGGGCAAUCUCUACGCGCAGCAAUACCAAGUAGGCCAGCGUUGAUGUGGUUCCGCAGAGCUGGCGGGUAGGUAGCAUCGAGCCGGGUGGGCGACCCCCGGCCCAGAGUAAUGGCGGUCACGCCGUGUCAGUUUGUUUCGGCAGGCAGGCGCGGUGCACAGAAUCCGGCUUAUCGGCGGGCUUCACA
Molecule: RNase P RNA, 319 nt
Filed under: Comamonadaceae bacterium
Lineage: Bacteria; Pseudomonadati; Pseudomonadota; Betaproteobacteria; Burkholderiales; Comamonadaceae
Description: RNase P RNA component class A
Rfam family: Bacterial RNase P class A
About the family: Ribonuclease P (RNase P) is a ubiquitous endoribonuclease, found in archaea, bacteria and eukarya as well as chloroplasts and mitochondria. Its best characterised activity is the generation of mature 5'-ends of tRNAs by cleaving the 5'-leader elements of precursor-tRNAs. Cellular RNase Ps are ribonucleoproteins.
Source: RNAcentral